This 1346-nucleotide ribosomal RNA is filed under the name uncultured bacterium. RNAcentral's name for it is "partial 16S ribosomal RNA". It matches the Rfam family "Bacterial small subunit ribosomal RNA", at positions 28 to 1381 of the family's 1533-position model. The record is from RNAcentral.
GACGAACGCUGUCGGCGUGCUUAACACAUGCAAGUCGAACGGAAAGGCCCUGCUUUUGUGGGGUGCUCGAGUGGCGAACGGGUGAGUAACACGUGAGUAACCUGCCCUUGACUUUGGGAUAACUUCAGGAAACUGGGGCUAAUACCGGAUAGGAGCUCCUGCUGCAUGGUGGGGGUUGGAAAGUUUCGGCGGUUGGGGAUGGACUCGCGGCUUAUCAGCUUGUUGGUGGGGUAGUGGCUUACCAAGGCUUUGACGGGUAGCCGGCCUGAGAGGGUGACCGGCCACAUUGGGACUGAGAUACGGCCCAGACUCCUACGGGAGGCAGCAGUGGGGAAUAUUGCACAAUGGGCGGAAGCCUGAUGCAGCAACGCCGCGUGCGGGAUGACGGCCUUCGGGUUGUAAACCGCUUUCGCCUGUGACGAAGCGUGAGUGACGGUAAUGGGUAAAGAAGCACCGGCUAACUACGUGCCAGCAGCCGCGGUGAUACGUAGGGUGCGAGCGUUGUCCGGAUUUAUUGGGCGUAAAGGGCUCGUAGGUGGUUGAUCGCGUCGGAAGUGUAAUCUUGGGGCUUAACCCUGAGCGUGCUUUCGAUACGGGUUGACUUGAGGAAGGUAGGGGAGAAUGGAAUUCCCGGUGGAGCGGUGGAAUGCGCAGAUAUCAGGAGGAACACCAGUGGCGAAGGCGGUUCUCUGGGCCUUUCCUGACGCUGAGGAGCGAAAGCGUGGGGAGCGAACAGGCUUAGAUACCCUGGUAGUCCACGCUGUAAACGGUGGGUACUAGGUGUGGGGUCCAUUCCACGGGUUCCGUGCCGUAGCUAACGCUUUAAGUACCCCGCCUGGGGAGUACGGCCGCAAGGCUAAAACUCAAAGGAAUUGACAGGGCCCCGCACAAGCGGCGGAGCAUGCGGAUUAAUUCGAUGCAACGCGUAGAACCUUACCUGGGUUUGACAUGGAUCGGGAGUGCUCAGAGAUGGGUGUGCCUCUUUUGGGGUCGGUUCACAGGUGGUGCAUGGCUGUCGUCAGCUCGUGUCGUGAGAUGUUGGGUUAAGUCCCGCAACGAGCGCAACCCUUGUUCACUGUUGCCAGCACGUUAUGGUGGGGACUCAGUGGAGACCGCCGGGGUCAACUCGGAGGAAGGUGGGGAUGACGUCAAGUCAUCAUGCCCCUUAUGUCCAGGGCUUCACGCAUGCUACAAUGGCUGGUACAGAGAGUGGCGAGCCUGUGAGGGUGAGCGAAUCUCGGAAAGCCGGUCUCAGUUCGGAUUGGGGUCUGCAACUCGACCUCAUGAAGUCGGAGUCGCUAGUAAUCGCAGAUCAGCAACGCUGCGGUGAAUACGUUCCCGGGGCU